CCUACGGGAGGCAGCAGUGAGGAAUAUUGGUCAAUGGACGAGAGCCUGAACCAGCCAAGUAGCGUGAAGGAUGAAUGUCCUAUGGGUUGUAAACUUCUUUUAUAAAGGAAUAAAACGAGGCACGUGUGCCUUUGUGAAUGUACUUUAUGAGUAAGGAUCGGCUAACUCCGUGCCAGCAGCCGCGGUAAUACGGAGGAUCCGAGCGUUAUCCGGAUUUAUUGGGUUUAAAGGGAGCGUAGAUGGGUUGUUAAGUCAGUUGUGAAAGUUUGCGGCUCAACCGUAAAAUUGCAAUUGAUACUGGCAGUCUUGAGUACAGUUGAGGUAGGCGGAAUUCGUGGUGUAGCGGUGAAAUGCUUAGAUAUCACGAAGAACCCCGAUUGCGAAGGCAGCUUACUAAACUGUGACUGACAUUGAUGCUCGAAAGUGUGGGUAUCAAACAGGAUUAGAUACCCGUGUAGUC
RNAcentral lists this ribosomal RNA (460 nucleotides) under uncultured bacterium. RNAcentral describes it as "partial 16S ribosomal RNA". It matches the Rfam family "Bacterial small subunit ribosomal RNA", at positions 338 to 795 of the family's 1533-position model. The record is from RNAcentral.